GAUGAACGCUGGCGGCGUGCCUAAUACAUGCAAGUCGAGCGAACAGAUGAGGAGCUUGCUCCUCUGACGUUAGCGGCGGACGGGUGAGUAACACGUGGAUAACCUACCUAUAAGACUGGGAUAACUUCGGGAAACCGGAGCUAAUACCGGAUAAUAUAUUGAACCGCAUGGUUCAAUAGUGAAAGACGGUUUUGCUGUCACUUAUAGAUGGAUCCGCGCCGCAUUAGCUAGUUGGUAAGGUAACGGCUUACCAAGGCAACGAUGCGUAGCCGACCUGAGAGGGUGAUCGGCCACACUGGAACGUAGACACGGUCCAGACUCCUACGGGAGGCAGCAGUAGGGAAUCUUCCGGAAUGGGCGAAAGCCUGACGGAGCAACGCCGCGUGAGUGAAGAAGGUCUUCGGAUCGUAAAACUCUGUUAUGAGGGAAGAACAAAUGUGUAAGUAACUAUGCACGUCUUGACGGUACCUAAUCAGAAAGCCACGGCUAACUACGUG
Molecule: ribosomal RNA, 497 nt
Filed under: uncultured bacterium
Lineage: Bacteria
Description: partial 16S ribosomal RNA
Rfam family: Bacterial small subunit ribosomal RNA
Source: RNAcentral